UUGGAGGGCAAGUCUGGUGCCAGCAGCCGCGGUAAUUCCAGCUCCAAUAGCGUAUACUAAAGUUGUUGCAGUUAAAAAGCUCGUAGUUGAAUUUCGGAAUCAAUUUGUUGGUCGUGCCUCGGUACGUACUGGUACUAUUGGUUUCUACCUUCUGAAGAACCUUGAUGUCAUUAAUUUGGUGUCUUGGGGAAUCAGGACUGUUACUUUGAAAAAAUUAGAGUGUUUAAAGCAAGCAUACGCUUGAAUACAUUAGCAUGGAAUAAUGAAAUAGGACGUUUGAUUCUAUUUUGUUGGUUUCUAGGAUCGACGUAAUGAUUAAUAGGGAUAGUUGGGGGCAUUAGUAUUCAAUUGUCAGAGGUGAAAUUCUUGGAUUUAUUGAAGACUAACUACUGCGAAAGCAUUUGCCAAGGAUGUUUUCAUUAAUCAAGAACGAAAGUUAGGGGAUCGAAGACGAUCAGAUACCGUCGUAGUCUUAACCAUAAACUAUGCCGACUAGGGAUCGGAUGAUGUUAAUUUUUUAAUGACUCAUUCGGCGCCUUACGGGAAAC
This 548-nucleotide ribosomal RNA is filed under the name uncultured Glomeromycotina. RNAcentral's name for it is "SSU rRNA". It matches the Rfam family "Eukaryotic small subunit ribosomal RNA", at positions 548 to 1098 of the family's 1831-position model. The record is from RNAcentral. Lineage: Eukaryota; Fungi; Glomeromycota.